AGUCAGGAUGGCCGAGUGGUCUAAGGCGCCAGACUCAAGUUCUGGUCUUCGUGAGAGGGCGUGGGUUCAAACCCCACUUCUGACAU
Molecule: transfer RNA, 86 nt
Filed under: Lupinus albus (white lupine)
Lineage: Eukaryota; Viridiplantae; Streptophyta; Magnoliopsida; Fabales; Fabaceae
Description: tRNA-Leu
Rfam family: tRNA
About the family: Transfer RNA (tRNA) molecules are approximately 80 nucleotides in length.
Source: RNAcentral